AUACUGAAGGUCCAAGCGUUAAUCGGAAUCACUGGGCUUAAAGCGUACGCAGGCGGAUUUGUAGGUAUUUUGUGAAAUCCCACGGCUCAACCGUGGAACUGCAGAGUAAACCACAAAUCUUGAGACAAGUAGGGGUCAGUGGAACUAUGAGUGGAGCGGUGAAAUGCGUAGAUAUUCAUGGGAACGCCAAUGGCGAAGGCAACUGACUGGGCUUGUUCUGACGCUCAGGUACGAAAGCGUGGGGAGCGAACAGGAUUAGAAACCCUAGUAGUCC
RNAcentral lists this ribosomal RNA (274 nucleotides) under uncultured bacterium. RNAcentral's name for it is "partial 16S ribosomal RNA". It matches the Rfam family "Bacterial small subunit ribosomal RNA", at positions 523 to 796 of the family's 1533-position model. The record is from RNAcentral.